This 34-nucleotide transfer RNA is filed under the name Nephroselmis pyriformis. RNAcentral's name for it is "partial Selenocysteine transfer RNA". The record is from RNAcentral. Lineage: Eukaryota; Viridiplantae; Chlorophyta; Nephroselmidophyceae; Nephroselmidales; Nephroselmidaceae.
GGGAGUUCGGGGUGGUGCGGGGCGUGGACUUCAA